Molecule: ribosomal RNA, 450 nt
Filed under: uncultured bacterium
Lineage: Bacteria
Description: partial 16S ribosomal RNA
Rfam family: Bacterial small subunit ribosomal RNA
Source: RNAcentral
CCUACGGGUGGCUGCAGUAAGGAAUAUUGGUCAAUGGACGCAAGUCUGAACCAGCCAUGCCGCGUGCAGGAUGACUGCCCUAUGGGUUGUAAACUGCUUUUGUAUGGGAAAAAACCCUCGUACGUGUACGAGGCUGAUGGUACCAUAAGAAUAAGGAUCGGCUAACUCCGUGCCAGCAGCCGCGGUAAUACGGAGGAUCCAAGCGUUAUCGGGAUUUAUGGGGUUGAAGGGGGACGUAGACGUCAGUGGAGAAAGCCUGCAGCUUAACUGCAGAACUGCCAUCGAUACUGCUAAUCUUGAGUACAGCUGGAGUGGGCGGAAUGUGUCGUGUAGCGGUGAAAUGCUUAGAUAUGACACAGAACACCGAUCGUGAAGACAGCUCACUAAACUGUAACUGACGCUGAGGCACGAAAGCGUGGGGAUCAAACAGGAUUAGAUACCCCGGUAGUC